This 253-nucleotide ribosomal RNA is filed under the name uncultured bacterium. Its description in RNAcentral is "partial 16S ribosomal RNA". It matches the Rfam family "Bacterial small subunit ribosomal RNA", at positions 524 to 776 of the family's 1533-position model. The record is from RNAcentral.
UACGAAGGGGGCUAGCGUUGUUCGGAAUUACUGGGCGUAAAGCGCGCGCAGGCGGUCUUCCAAGUCAGUGGUGAAAGCCCGGAGCUCAACUCCGGAACUGCCAUUGAAACUGUUAGACUUGAGGACGAGAGAGGUGAGUGGAAUUCCCAGUGUAGAGGUGAAAUUCGUAGAUAUUGGGAAGAACACCGGUGGCGAAGGCGGCUCACUGGCUCGUUUCUGACGCUGAGGUGCGAAAGCGUGGGGAGCAAACAGG